RNAcentral lists this ribosomal RNA (205 nucleotides) under uncultured bacterium. RNAcentral's name for it is "partial 16S ribosomal RNA". It matches the Rfam family "Bacterial small subunit ribosomal RNA", at positions 28 to 221 of the family's 1533-position model. The record is from RNAcentral.
GACGAACGCUGGCGGCGUGCUUAACACAUGCAAGUCGAGGGCACUAUUGGGGCAACCCGGUAGUGACCGGCGAACGGGUGCGUAACACGUGAGCGACCUUGCCUCGUGGUGGGGGAUAGCCGGCCCAACGGCCGGGUAAUACCGCAUAUGGUGCUGUCUUCGCAUGGAGACGGUAGCAAAGCUGUGUCGCAAGACAUGGCGCCAC